UAACAGAGGGUGCAAGCGUUAAUCGGAAUUACUGGGCGUAAAGCGUGCGUAGACGGUUAUGUAAGUUAGGUGUGAAAGCCCCGGGCUCAACCUGGGAAUUGCAUUUAAGACUGCAUAGCUAGGGUGCGGAAGAGGGAAGCGGAAUUUCCGGUGUAGCGGUGAAAUGCGUAGAUAUCGGAAGGAACAUCAGUGGCGAAAGCGGCUUCCUGGUCCAGC
RNAcentral lists this ribosomal RNA (216 nucleotides) under uncultured bacterium. Its description in RNAcentral is "partial 16S ribosomal RNA". It matches the Rfam family "Bacterial small subunit ribosomal RNA", at positions 523 to 738 of the family's 1533-position model. The record is from RNAcentral.